UUUUGAUUGCGGGGGGACUCAUCUUGAGUUGAGAAGGUUAAAACCUGACCCUUUGAACCUGUUAGUUAAUACUGACGUAGGGAGCAGCACAUCAUUUUCU
Molecule: non-coding RNA, 100 nt
Filed under: Lysinibacillus contaminans
Lineage: Bacteria; Bacillati; Bacillota; Bacilli; Caryophanales; Bacillaceae
Description: TPP sequence
Rfam family: TPP riboswitch aptamer (THI element)
About the family: Vitamin B(1) in its active form thiamin pyrophosphate (TPP) is an essential coenzyme that is synthesised by coupling of pyrimidine and thiazole moieties in bacteria. The previously detected thiamin-regulatory element, thi box was extended, resulting in a new, highly conserved RNA secondary structure, the THI element, which is widely distributed in eubacteria and also occurs in some archaea.
Source: RNAcentral